This 446-nucleotide ribosomal RNA is filed under the name uncultured soil bacterium. RNAcentral's name for it is "bacterial SSU rRNA". It matches the Rfam family "Bacterial small subunit ribosomal RNA", at positions 26 to 489 of the family's 1533-position model. The record is from RNAcentral.
AGAUUGAACGCUGGCGGCAGGCCUAACACAUGCAAGUCGAGCGGUAGAGAGGUGCUUGCAUCUCUUGAGAGCGGCGGACGGGUGAGUAAUGCCUAGGAAUCUGCCUAGUGGUGGGGGAUAACGUUCGGAAACGGACGCUAAUACCGCAUACGUCCUACGGGAGAAAGCGGGGGACCUUCGGGCCUCGCGCCAUUAGAUGAGCCUAGGUCGGAUUAGCUAGUUGGUGAGGUAAUGGCUCACCAAGGCGACGAUCCGUAACUGGUCUGAGAGGAUGAUCAGUCACACUGGGACUGAGACACGGCCCAGACUCCUACGGAGGCAGCAGUGGGAAUUUUUGGACAAUGGGCGAAAGGCCUGAUACCAGCAAUGCCGCGUGCAGGAAGAAGGCCCUUGGUUCGUAAACUAGUCUUUUGUAACGGAACGAAAGGACUCUUUACUAAUAAAGA